This 302-nucleotide ribosomal RNA is filed under the name uncultured bacterium. RNAcentral's name for it is "partial 16S ribosomal RNA". It matches the Rfam family "Bacterial small subunit ribosomal RNA", at positions 508 to 807 of the family's 1533-position model. The record is from RNAcentral.
GCAGUAGCCGCGGUAACACGGAGGGUGCAAGCGUUAAUCGGAAUUACUGGGCGUAAAGCGCACGCAGGCGGUCUGACAAGUCAGAUGUGAAAUCCCCGGGCUUAACCUGGGAACUGCAUUUGAAACUGUCAGGCUGGAGUCUUGUAGAGGGGGGUAGAAUUCCAGGUGUAGCGGUGAAAUGCGUAGAGAUCUGGAGGAAUACCGGUGGCGAAGGCGGCCCCCUGGACAAAGACUGACGCUCAGGUGCGAAAGCGUGGGGAGCAAACAGGAUUAGAUACCCCUGUAGUCCCUGUCUCUUAUAC